CCACGCCCCGUCAGGGCCCGGCGUGUGAUGUUCCCCUCCCUGUGUCCCAUGUGUUCUCGCUGUUCAACUCCCACUUAGGAGCGAGAACAUGCGGUGUUUGGUUUUCGCUUCCUGUGUCAGUUUGCUGAGAAUGAGGCCUUCCAGCUUCAUCCACGUUCCCGCAGAGGUCAUGAACUCAUCCUUUUUUAUGGCUGCGUAGUAAUUCCAUGCUGUAUACGUGCCACACUUUCUUUAUCCAGCCUAUCAUUCAUGGGCAUUCGAGUUGGUUCCAAGUCUUUGCUAUUGUAAAUAGUGCUGCAGUAAACAUACGUGUCCACGUGUCUUCCUAGUAGGAACUUCUUCCUCUUCAGCCCGCUGAGUAGCUGGCACUUUAAGGCAGGUGCCAACGCACCGGCAGCAAGCUUCCUUUUUUGCCCGGGAAAAACUGAGGUGCAGGUAGUAUAAGCCAUUGAUCACGGAACGCACAGGAGCAGAGCUCGAGUCCAAGCAUCGUGGCUCCACCCGUCAUGCUGGAUGCAUCUUUAGGCUCCGCUCUAGGUAUGUGUAUCCUUUACGGGAUCAGCCACCGGCAGUUGCCUUGCGAGCACGAUGACAAACCUCUGCCGGCUCUUUUGGGUCUCAUCCCUGUAUCUAUACGUUGCAUCCCAACAUAAAGACCGGAAUGUUCCUUUCGCUGACCCAGUCUCUCACCCUUUCCAAACUCCAGAAAUCUUGUCUGUCCUCGGAAGAACUCCCCCUGCUUCUUUCUCUAAAGGCUGUCUUCAGGCCGGGCACAGUGGGAGGAUCGCUUGAGCCCAGAAGGCCGCAGUGAGGUGAGAUCGCGCCAUUGCACUGCAGCCCCCGGCGGCAGAGCCGGAGCCCCGUCUCGAAACAAACAAACAAAAACCAACCAACCAACCAACCAACCAACAAACAAACACAGACAAAGAAAGAAAGAGCCCAGGCAACCUAGUGAAAACCUGUUCGGGCUGGGGCAUACCUGUACCCCAGCUGUUCCGGAGGCUGAGGCCAGGAGGAUGGGUGGACGCUGGGAGGUGGAUGCUGCAGUGAGCAGUGAUUGCACCACUGCACUCCAGCCUGGGUGACAGAGCCAGACCCCGUCCCAAAUAAAUAAACAUAAAAAUAAAGGAACCAGUUUGUAGAAAGCGGGAGAGGGUCCCAUUGAACUUCAAGCCUUCGAGCAACAGCUGUGGCUGGACAGGUUGGACCAGCAGGCUGGAGCAGUCGCCAUCUUGGCAGGGAUCAUUGACCCUGAUCUAUCGUCGGGAGGAGGAAGAGCUGAUCUUACGCAGGGAGGGCAGGUGGACUAUGUGUGGACUCUGGUGACCUGUUUGGGUGCCAGGUGUUACUCCCAGGGCCACCCGUAACUGUGAAUGUGCAGGAACCCUGACUUGAGAAGGGCCUGGCCACGGGGGGCUUAGGCCCCUGGGGAAUGAGAGUUUGGUUCCCGGUACCCAGGGAAACCACCAGCAUCGGCAGAGGUGAUAGCUGAGGAGGAGCGGGGAUUUGGACGAGAGACACAGGAUGAGUACCGGGGGGCAGCCCCGUGAUCAACAACUGCUGCAAGAGGGGCCGUUUGUUCGACUCGCUAGUCUUCUGCGGCUCUAUGCGGUACUAAAGAGCAGAAGACAGAAGAUACAAAAACCACAAAAAGUAGCCGGGCGUGGUGCUGCCCGUCAAUAAUCCCAGCUACUCGGGAGGCUGAGACAGGAGAAUCGCUUGAACCCGGGAGGCGGAAGUUUCAGCGAGCCGAGAUCACGCCGUUGCAGUCCAACCUGAGCGUCCGAGCGAGACUCUAUCUCAGAAAAUAAAGACAGAAUGAAAGAGCCCGGCGCGGUGGCUUACGCCUGUAAUCCCAGCGCUUUGGGAGGCCGAGGCGGGCGGAUCGCCUGAGGUCAGGAGCUCGAGACCAGCCUGGCCGACAUGGCGAA
Molecule: long non-coding RNA, 1931 nt
Filed under: Homo sapiens (human)
Lineage: Eukaryota; Metazoa; Chordata; Mammalia; Primates; Hominidae
Description: HSALNT0389917
Source: RNAcentral